This 460-nucleotide ribosomal RNA is filed under the name uncultured bacterium. RNAcentral's name for it is "partial 16S ribosomal RNA". It matches the Rfam family "Bacterial small subunit ribosomal RNA", at positions 338 to 795 of the family's 1533-position model. The record is from RNAcentral.
CCUACGGGAGGCAGCAGUGAGGAAUAUUGGUCAAUGGGCGCUAGCCUGAACCAGCCAAGUAGCGUGAAGGAUGACUGCCCUAUGGGUUGUAAACUUCUUUUAUAUGGGAAUAAAGUGCAGUAUGUAUACUGCUUUGCAUGUACCUUAUGAAUAAGGAUCGGCUAACUCCGUGCCAGCAGCCGCGAUAAUACGGAGGAUUCGAGCGUUAUCCGGAUUUAUUGGGUUUAAAGGGAGCGUAGGCGGGUUGUUAAGUCAGUUGUGAAAGUUUGCGGCUCAACCGGAAAAUUGCAGUUGAUACUGGCAGCCUUGAGUACAGUAGAGGGAGGCGGAAUGCGUGGUGUAGCGGUGAAAUGCGUAGAUAUCACGAAGAACUCCGAUUGCGAAGGCAGCCUGCUGGACUGUAACUGACGCUGAGGCUCGAAAGUGUGGGUAUCAAACAGGAUUAGAUACCCUAGUAGUC